AUGGAGGAGGAGCAGAGGAAGCGGGACUAUGAACGCCUUCAAGGCCUAGAAGCAAGUCAAGCGGAAUUGGUAGUCAAAUUCCAGCGGCAGCAAGAGCAGAUCGACUCACUUACCCAGCAAAGGGGGUCUCAGCAGCUGCAGCAGCUAGUGAAUGAUCCAGCAUUGGAUAGCACCGCCCCAUCCAUGCCGAGAAGCAGCGUGGGUUCCGCCCCGGACGACGCAAUGCUGGGUAGAUACCCCGUGGAUGACAUCACGGAGAACACUAGCUGCGAGCUACACAACAAAAUGAAGAACAUAUCCAUGAAGGUGGCGGACACCGUUGCUUUUACAAAUCCCCCCGAGGCAACCUUCUAUUGCAACCCGAUUCCAGUGGGCUAUGCUUGUGUCUUGGUUGAUGAGGUGGUGGACCCUUAUUCGGAGCUAGAGCUUGACUAUCCUGGAGGUGACGACGAGCGCUUUCUCGGAGACGCCAAACAUCGUAUCAUCCUAUGGAAAAAGGAUUGCAUCAUCAUUCGAAGGCCACCAACACCGCGUCAGCCGACUCCUCGUCGAAGUCCGCCACUGAGUCAGCAGUCUCCCGCUCCUGCAAGUCCGCCAAGUCCGGCAAAGUGUCAGGCCACUCCUCCUCCAAGUCCGGCAAAGUGUCAGGCCACUCCUCCUCCUCCAAGUCCGCCACAGCGUCAGACAUCCACUCCUCCUCCAAGUCAGGCACAACCUCAGGCCACUCCUCCUCCAAGUCCGGCACAGCUUCAGGCGGCCACUCCUCCUCGUCCAACUCAGCCCCGUCAGCCGUCUCCGCCGCCUCAGCAAUCACAGAAGAGACACCCCGCAGCUAUGGUGCGUAGCGGUACGAGUCGAGGUAGUACAAGAAGUACAGGAGGAGGCAAGCGAUAUAAAUAUGGUCCAAGCCUCAUGCCUCUUCCGCAGAGGGCUUAUGACAGGUCCGAGGAGGAAAUCGCAGACAUAUCAAAGUCCGAGGUGGAAGCCCAUUUUGCACCGAAACCGCCACCGCCGCCAAGGGAGAAAGUGCCUGAGGAAACGAUUGACCACUUCAUUCGUAUGGCUCAACCACCAGCUCCCGAGCCUGUUGACACAGACUAUGAGCGCCACAUCAGGAAGUUAAAUCGAGCACGUGUACUUAAGGAGGCGAGCUCGGGAUUGAGCAAACAAGAAGCAGCUGUCAAAAAAUGCGGGAAAACCAUUCCCCAACUGGGAGAACAGGCGGCGCAAUCGAUCCCCUCGCUUGUUGUGCCAACAACACGUGACAGUACGCGCGCCCAAUAUUAUUGUGGGCAAACAUUUUACGUUCCUGAGGUGGGCAAUGUGGUAAUAACGGAGGACCAUAUAAUGCAGGCUGAAGUUCUCAAAAUCACUGUUGGACAACUCCUCGAGAUCGAGCCCAUGCCUGUGCUUAGAGAGGAUGAAAUAAAACGGAAAUAUGUCCGGGGCCAACCUUUGGUCGAGCCAGACAAGGUCAAGAACCUCCCAACGAGAAUGUAUGAAUUGCAUCAAUGGUACAUGAACAUUACCAAGAUUUCCGAUCGAGUGUCCCUCAUGGUGAAUGUCAAGGAGGAUCAUUACUACCAUGAGAAAGCUCUGUCCGUUGAGUAUUCUGAACCGUUUCAGUUAUACAAUCAAGACGCACUCGACAAAUCUAUCGUCAGUUGCUAUUGUCUGAUGAAGAUGUAUGAAAUGAGAAAAGGUGGACGCUAUGGCAUUGGGUUCAUUGACCCAAACACCGUUAAUGAAUACACAUGGAAAAUAGAUGAGUAUCAUCAAAAGGCCGUAGAGGACAGCAUGCUAGAGUUCUUGAAGCGCCUCAAAUACAAUGAAGAUAUACUACUUCCUUACAACUUCCAAUUUCACUGGGUCUUGUGUAUCAUUAAAGUUGACGCCGGAACAGUUGAAAUACUGGACUCACUACUCAAAGAAAAAACUGACUAUAACAUCUUGUUUGGGAUAGUCAACAGGGCUUGGGCAAGGUUCAUCAGGGUUACGGACGGCGAAUGGAAAGAAAAGCUUAAAUGGGGAAGACCCAAGGCCCUGAAGCAGGCGCAGGGGACUGAUCUGUGUGCAUUCUGCGUUUGCGAGAACAUUCGCAUGAUGGCGUCCGAAAGGAGCAGAUCUCAAAGACAGGAAUGGUUCAGAGAGGUGCGGGCGAAGCUCCUAGAAACGGAGCGCGUAGAAGCACUUCAAGAGGAAAUAGCGGGAUUUUUGCUCGACCAGGUCAUAAAUCCGAAGGGAGAAUACUAUUACCCGCUACCGCUCGAAUGA
This 2274-nucleotide ribosomal RNA is filed under the name Triticum aestivum (bread wheat). RNAcentral describes it as "partial small subunit ribosomal RNA". The record is from RNAcentral. Lineage: Eukaryota; Viridiplantae; Streptophyta; Magnoliopsida; Poales; Poaceae.